AAGAUUCCCCCCCCCCCCCCCCUCAACUUUUCUUUCUUCACCAUUAGAAGAAAAUACAUACCCAUCAUCUUCUUCACUAAAAAACUCUAAGACACAAGAGAGACCGGCCGACAUCCCAAUGACCCCAACACCUCCCAUCUGCCACCAGCCAACCGACGAACCAGACCCCCCAAUACCUCUUGAAACCAAACGACCUCCACACUUUCAAAGAACGACAACCAUGAACACCGGUGAGACAUCGAAGAACUCACCGAAUCCGCUGCGGAUCUGGACAGAAACUCGCCACUUUUGCUUUGUCUCAUCACUCUCUAGAUCUGGCCGGUUUUACCUCUGCCUGUGACCCUUUCCUUCUUUGUCUUUUGAUAAAACUAGGGUCUAAAGAUGGCUUAUCUCGUUGGCCGAAUUUUGAGAUCAUGUUAUUUCGUGGCUACACCUAGUUUGGUGGUUUAUUUUGAUGUUUGUUCAAGGUUCCCAUCGAAACCCGUGGCCGGCAAUCUUUCCUGGCUUUGUGUGUUCUGACGUUGAAGUGUUUGAGGUUCUGCUUGCUAGUUCUGCUCGUAGUUCAUGGUUCCGUUUCAGAAUUCGACAACUUUAUUUGGUCUCUGCUUGGAAAUCCAUAUACGUUCUUUCAAAAGCUUUAUAGGAAACCCGAAUCUGUUAUAUUCUAAAUUAAUUUCUUACUUUGAUUUCUUAAUGUUCUGUCCAUGCUCCUGUUAUCAAUCUUUGAUGAUUUUGCGUAAUGUAAAAUUGUUCUGCCGUCUCAUUGUUUGUUUUAGAUCUGCUUGACUUGAUUCAUUUUGUUGAGUUUUCAUUUGAUUUUGGGUAUUAGUUUCAUCCAUUUUAGAAGGUGAAUGCACUUCGUCUGUUUGGUCAAAAUUCGUCGAGAGCAUAUUAGAAUUAAAGGCAAGUUUUGGAUCGUG
Molecule: long non-coding RNA, 920 nt
Filed under: Nicotiana benthamiana
Lineage: Eukaryota; Viridiplantae; Streptophyta; Magnoliopsida; Solanales; Solanaceae
Description: long non-coding RNA (NBEN_LNC036940)
Source: RNAcentral